GAUGAAGAACGUAGCGAAAUGCGAUAAGUAAUGUGAAUUGCAGAAUUCAGUGAAUCAUCGAAUCUUUGAACGCACAUUGCGCCCGUCAGUAUUCUGGCGGGCAUGCCUGUUCGAGCGUCAUUACGCCCCUCAAGUCCCCUGUGGACUUGGUGUUGGGGAUCGGCGAGGCUGGUUUUCCAGCACAGCCGUCCCUUAAAUUAAUUGGCGGUCUCGCCGUGGCCCUCCUCUGCGCAGUAGUAAAACACUCGCAACAGGAGCCCGGCGCGGUCCACUGCCGUAAAACCCCCCAACUUUUUAUAGUUGACCUCGAAUCAGGUAGGACUACCCGCUGAACUUAAGAAUAUCAAUAAGCGGAGGA
RNAcentral lists this unclassified non-coding RNA (358 nucleotides) under soil metagenome. RNAcentral describes it as "partial contains 5.8S ribosomal RNA, internal transcribed spacer 2, and large subunit ribosomal RNA". The stretch from base 1 to 120 matches the Rfam family "5.8S ribosomal RNA", at positions 35 to 154 of the family's 154-position model. The record is from RNAcentral.